RNAcentral lists this non-coding RNA (114 nucleotides) under Methanosarcina barkeri str. Fusaro. RNAcentral describes it as "Archaeal Small RNA 41". It matches the Rfam family "Archaeal Small RNA 41". Rfam says of the family: Highly expressed during nitrogen sufficiency. Capable to bind several ribosome binding sites independently within a polycistronic mRNA. Lineage: Archaea; Methanobacteriati; Methanobacteriota; Methanomicrobia; Methanosarcinales; Methanosarcinaceae. The record is from Rfam by way of RNAcentral.
AUAUACCUUUGUUCAAAAGGCAAAGAAAAACCUCCUAAAUCUAUUAAUCGAACUUGAGACUGUAAAUUCCUCAUCUGUAAUAGCAGGCAGGUGGGGAGUUUUAGGUCCAGUGGC